This 469-nucleotide ribosomal RNA is filed under the name uncultured bacterium. RNAcentral's name for it is "partial 16S ribosomal RNA". It matches the Rfam family "Bacterial small subunit ribosomal RNA", at positions 28 to 507 of the family's 1533-position model. The record is from RNAcentral.
GACGAACGCUGGCGGCGUGCUUAACACAUGCAAGUCGAACGGAAAGGCCCUGCUUGCAGGGUGCUCGAGUGGCGAACGGGUGAGUAACACGUGGGUGAUCUGCCCCUUACUUUGGGAUAAGCCUGGGAAACUGGGUCUAAUACUGGAUAGGACCAUGCUGUAGGUGGUGUGGUGGAAAGAUUAGUUUCGGUAAGGGAUGAGCUCGCGGCCUAUCAGCUUGUUGGUGGGGUAAUGGCCUACCAAGGCGUCGACGGGUAGCCGGCCUGAGAGGGUGGACGGCCACAUUGGGACUGAGAUACGGCCCAGACUCCUACGGGAGGCAGCAGUGGGGAAUAGUGCACAAUGGGCGCAAGCCUGAUGCAGCGACGCUGCGUGGGGGAUGACGGCCUUCGGGUUGUAAACUCCUUUCAGCCAUGACGAAGCCCUUGUGGUGACGGUAGUGGUAGAAGAAGCACCGGCUAACUACGUG